GACCUCGUAGUAGAUCAUGACGCCCAGAUAGAUGACGGCAUUGUGGGCGAAGACAAUGACAUUGCUCCAAAUGAACCGAUACAGGUAGAUCGAGUAUGGCAGCCUGAUUUGCUUGACGUAGGAUUCGGCACCAGUGAACAAGGCGCCAGCAUUGUUCAGGACCGUAUUGAUGAAAUUCCAGAUAAGCAGACCCAGACAAAGGAACGGCAUAAAAUCGUUUAUGGGAGUCUUGAAUAUCUGCGAAUACACAAUACCGAGCGCGAUUACCAUCACGGCCAUGCUGACAGUGAG
Molecule: unclassified non-coding RNA, 291 nt
Filed under: Hevea brasiliensis (rubber tree)
Lineage: Eukaryota; Viridiplantae; Streptophyta; Magnoliopsida; Malpighiales; Euphorbiaceae
Source: RNAcentral